This 554-nucleotide ribosomal RNA is filed under the name uncultured bacterium. RNAcentral describes it as "partial 16S ribosomal RNA". It matches the Rfam family "Bacterial small subunit ribosomal RNA", at positions 355 to 900 of the family's 1533-position model. The record is from RNAcentral.
UAGGGAAUCUUCGGCAAUGGGGGCAACCCUGACCGAGCAACGCCGCGUGAGUGAAGAAGGUUUUCGGAUCGUAAAGCUCUGUUGUAAGUCAAGAACGGGUGUGAGAGUGGAAAGUUCACACUGUGACGGUAGCUUACCAGAAAGGGACGGCUAACUACGUGCCAGCAGCCGCGGUAAUACGUAGGUCCCGAGCGUUGUCCGGAUUUAUUGGGCGUAAAGCGAGCGCAGGCGGUUUGAUAAGUCUGAAGUUAAAGGCUGUGGCUCAACCAUAGUUCGCUUUGGAAACUGUCAAACUUGAGUGCAGAAGGGGAGAGUGGAAUUCCAUGUGUAGCGGUGAAAUGCGUAGAUAUAUGGAGGAACACCGGUGGCGAAAACGGCUCUCUGGUCUGUAACUGACGCUGAGGCUCGAAAGCGUGGGGAGCGAACAGGAUUAGAUACCCUGGUAGUCCACGCCGUAAACGAUGAGUGCUAGGUGUUGGAUCCUUUCCGGGAUUCAGUGCCGCAGCUAACGCAUUAAGCACUCCGCCUGGGGAGUACGACCGCAAGGUUGAAAC